UGAUUUAUAUUUGGUAUAUUUAGAUACUCUGUUACAUUACCAUCAACUUUCACUUCCCUAGCCUAACCUGCUGGGAUUGUGCUAAUUACUUACAGAUGUGUUGAGCAUGUUUAGGAACGACUUAUCUGUGAUGUUGUAAACCUAAGAACGGCUUAUCAAUUUAUAUCCGGUUUGUGUACAGCAGUUCUAUUUCCCACCCUAGUAUCUUUUUAAUUCAUAUAAUGAAUACACCUUGUUUAUACAUUGAUGGAAUUUUAUUUUUAUGUUCUAGCUGUAAACAAAACAGCAUUUUUCUUCAAAAUUACAAAUUGUACUGAGUAGAACUUCCAGAAAUCAUAAAAGAGUUUAGCUAACUAGGGGGUUGUAAAUAACAGCAUCUGCAUCCAAGUAUUUGCGCCAAUUUUAAACCACCAGGCAGGUCAUGCCAAGAACAAUGAGAUUAGAGAAAGCCACAACAAAGCACAGAUGGUGUAGAAGAGAAAAUGAUUUACAUCUAAAUCCUUAUCACAGUUGGAAAAUUGAUUGAAUGAUGAAAUGGUCAUAAGAGGAGGAGAAAAGAUCUUGCAAUAUUAAGAGUUGACCAGCAGCAUAGCUUUCCAUAAAUGCAAUAAUGCCAGUGAACUGUAGCCAUUGGAAGAUUGCAUCAGGAAGAAGAUGACCGUUUGCAAUGCCAGUUAUAAAGCAUUCAAACUUCUUUUUGUGAAUAUUUCAAUCUAUGAAAAUGUGAUUGGGAAAUGUGAUGUGAAACGUGAAUGACAGAACUGCUUGUGAUUUGCAUCUUUUAUGCCAAUUUAGGAGUAAAAAGAAUGGCAGGAUUACUCGGCAUGAUUCUCAAAACUGUGAUUCACUGUGAUUAUUGGAAUGUUUCAACUGUUUACUAUAAAACUCAGCCUUGGAUGUUAAAAUGCUGUGAAACGGUCAAUAUAUUCUAACAUGUAACUGUGCUUUGAAAAAGUAAAUGUAAGAUUAUGAUUUUUUAAAUUUUAAUGACAAUCCUUUACUAAUGAAUCUCAUUCACAUUUUAUCACACUGAAAAAUAUUAAGAAAAUAAAAGUGAUGUAUGCUUAGCUUAA
Long non-coding RNA from Saccostrea cuccullata (small rock oyster), 1073 nucleotides. RefSeq lists it as uncharacterized. NCBI's taxonomy places the organism in Eukaryota, Metazoa, Mollusca, Bivalvia, Ostreida, Ostreidae. The transcript is spliced from 2 exons. The record is from RefSeq and is a predicted model, not a curated record.